Molecule: long non-coding RNA, 354 nt
Filed under: Homo sapiens (human)
Lineage: Eukaryota; Metazoa; Chordata; Mammalia; Primates; Hominidae
Description: non-protein coding lnc-SRGAP1-3:1
Source: RNAcentral
CUCCGGCCUUGGUGGUUUCUGGUGCAGGAACUGAGAGACCCUUUGGUGUUCUACCUGGAGGCGUGGCUGGCGGAUGAGAUCUUGAGUGAGUGACCUUAGGCCCAGACCAAGCUGUAAUUCCAGAAGUGGCGUGGAUGCGCCAGGCCCUGCUGGUGGUGGACAUAGUGGACUCCAAGAACCUAGUCGAAAUAAUGGUUUUUGGAUGGCUCUGAGUACAGAAUCGGGUGAAGAGCAUGCUCCUGUGCCUGGCAUGGUUUCACCGAGAACACUGUGCCCAAGCUGAGAAGAUAAAACACCUUGAGAAGAACUUGAAUGCCCAUGCCUCAGGCCCCCACACUCCCCGGCAUCCUAUUG